RNAcentral lists this long non-coding RNA (718 nucleotides) under Androctonus crassicauda. The record is from RNAcentral. Lineage: Eukaryota; Metazoa; Arthropoda; Arachnida; Scorpiones; Buthidae.
CAGAACCUCUAGGCUAUUUUUUUUUAAUCUCAUCUUGUCAAUUUUGUAGCCUAAAAUUUCAAAAAUAUCAUUUAUCUCAUCUAGAAAAAAAGAAUAGUUUUGAUAUAUUAGGCUACAAAAUUGACAAGAUGAGAUUAAAAAAAAAUAGCCUAGAGGUUCUAGGAGACUUAACAUAUGAUCCUUUUAAGGGGGAAGGGAGCUUCUUAUUAGAAACUAUUCUAUGCACCUCUGUAUCUAUAGUUUCGGUUGGAUCUUGGUCAAGAUGGAUACAUCCAGUAUCUGCUAUGUACUUAUCCAAGAAGGAGACAUAUGUUUCACGUUUUAACAAGAUCACUGCCUUGGUCUUAUAUCUUUAGUGCAAACAAUAUUAUUCUGGUCAAGCCAUUCUUCUACUUUCUUUACUUUCAAGUUUUGAGACUUCACUCCAGAUAAAUUAGCUCACUUAAUAGUUUUGGCUACAUGCCAUCUUAAUUCAUCUGCCCUUACUCGAUCAAUUUUUUGUAAAAGAGGUUCCAUUUGUAUGGCUAUUAUCUCCCAGUUAGAAACGUUCUCAAUUAAGUUGUUCGGUCCUAGUGAUAAUGCUUCGUGAACUAUAGGUGGGAUCUCUCUAUUAUCUAGCACUAUGUAAUUUGGUACUGAUGUACAGGUUUUCUUUUUGACUUGGAUGCGAAUUAACCACUUUUAGAUGGAGAGGUGAGUGGAGUGCUUUCUAGUGGGA